GGUCCCGUAGCUCAGUUGGAUAGAGCACAGGUUUCCUAAACCUGGGGCCAUAGGUUCGAAUCCUAUCGGGAUCA
Molecule: transfer RNA, 74 nt
Filed under: Ignavibacteria bacterium GWB2_35_12
Lineage: Bacteria; Pseudomonadati; Ignavibacteriota; Ignavibacteria
Also listed under: 3 other names
Description: tRNA-Arg
Rfam family: tRNA
About the family: Transfer RNA (tRNA) molecules are approximately 80 nucleotides in length.
Source: RNAcentral